Molecule: ribosomal RNA, 913 nt
Filed under: Aporocotyle argentinensis
Lineage: Eukaryota; Metazoa; Platyhelminthes; Trematoda; Strigeidida; Aporocotylidae
Description: LSU rRNA
Rfam family: Eukaryotic large subunit ribosomal RNA
Source: RNAcentral
UAAGCGGAGGAAAAGAAACUAACCAGGAUUCCCUUAGUAACGGCGAGUGAACAGGGAUUAGCCCAGCACCGAAGCCUGCGGUCAUUUGGUUGCUAGGCAAUGUGGUGUUUAGGUUGGUUUAUUGGCAUUUCUGCUUCACCCUAAGUCCAUCAAUGAGUACGGCUUUUGGACCGGCCCAUAGAGGGUGAAAGGCCCGUGGGGGUGAAGAUCAAGUUGGACAGUUAUGCCUUGAGCCAACCUUGGAGUCGGGUUGUUUGUGAAUGCAGCCCAAAGUGGGUGGUAGACUCCAUCCAAGGCUAAAUACUGACACGAAUCCGAUAGUAAACAAGUACCGUGAGGGAAAGUUGAAAAGUACUUUGAAGAGAGAGUAAACAGUGCGUGAAGCCGCUCAGAGGUAAACGGGUGGAGUUGAACUGGAAAUCCUGUGAACUACGCUAAUAGGUAUGGAAUGUGCUUAGCCAUAUUAGUUGACAUUCAGAGUCUACUUCAUUGUGGCCUCGAACUCUUAGGAGUGUUGGUGUGUGUCGCACUUAUCAUGUGCUGUGCGCUCUGUUUGUAUCAGGCUUGCCUGUUAGUUCGCGUUCUAUGGGUGAUCACCACGACCGGCGUUGUCGCCUGUCUGCUGUGGUUAAACCGGUUCGGUUAGGUCAUUUUGGCCUGGCUGGAUCGGGAUGGCAGGUAGCUUAUUUGCUCUUUGAGUGAGUAGGUGUUAUUUGGGCUGACCAGUGGCGGAUUUGUGCGAUAUGUCGGAGAUGAUGGCUUUGGUGUGUGCAUUUUCAUUCCAUUGGUUCGGGUUUGAUUAACAAGUUACCUGCUUUAGUGUAGGUCGGUUAGUAGCUCGUUCCAUUUUGGGGUGGAUCUAGCAUAUGUCACCUAUUUGGGCCUAUAGUCUGUGGUGUAGUGGUAGACUAUC